CUACGUGCCAGCAGCCGCGGUAAUACGUAGGUCCCGAGCGUUGUCCGGAUUUAUUGGGCGUAAAGCGAGCGCAGGCGGUUAGAUAAGUCUGAAGUGAAAGGCAGUGGCUCAACCAUUGUAGGCUUUGGAAACUGUUUAACUUGAGUGCAGAAGGGGAGAGUGGAAUUCCAUGUGUAGCGGUGAAAUGCGUAGAUAUAUGGAGGAACACCGGUGGCGAAAGCGGCUCUCUGGUCUGUAACUGACGCUGAGGCUCGAAAGCGUGGGGAGCGAACAGGAUUAGAUACCCUGGUAGUCCACGCCGUAAACGAUGAGUGCUAGGUGUUAGGUCCUUUCCGGGACUUAGUGCCGCAGCUAACGCAUUAAGCACUCCGCCUGGGGAGUACGACCGCAAGGUUGAAACUCAAAGGAAUUGACGGGGGCCCGCACAAGCGGUGGAGCAUGUGGUUUAAUUCGAAGCAACGCGAAGAACCUUACCAAGUCUUGACAUCCUUUGACCACUCUAGAGAUAGAGCUUUCC
Molecule: ribosomal RNA, 517 nt
Filed under: uncultured bacterium
Lineage: Bacteria
Description: bacterial SSU rRNA
Rfam family: Bacterial small subunit ribosomal RNA
Source: RNAcentral